CCAUAACGCGUCUAGGGUUCCGGCCGCUUGCGGUGUCUGGUCCGAGAGAUGCACUCCCGGCCAUUCUUCGGAUGGGCGGAGCCACGGCGGGAUAAAAGCCCGGGAGAG
This 108-nucleotide small RNA is filed under the name Magnetospirillum sp. Its description in RNAcentral is "Guanidine-I sequence". It matches the Rfam family "Guanidine-I riboswitch aptamer". Rfam says of the family: This family represents a conserved RNA structure found upstream of the ykkC and yxkD genes in Bacillus subtilis and related genes in other bacteria. The function of this family is unclear although it has been suggested that it may function to switch on efflux pumps and detoxification systems in response to harmful environmental molecules. Nelson showed that this riboswitch senses and responds to guanidine and it was renamed Guanidine-I riboswitch. Lineage: Bacteria; Pseudomonadati; Pseudomonadota; Alphaproteobacteria; Rhodospirillales; Rhodospirillaceae. The record is from RNAcentral.